UUAUAAUUAAGAUUAAUUAAUAAAAGAUUAAAUGAAAACAUUAAAUUUAAAAAAUUUGGCGGUAUUUUAAAUAGUUAGAGGAAUUUGUCAAUUAAAUGAUACCCCACGCUUGGAGUGUCCUAGUUAAGUUUUUAUAUAUUGUUGUAUAAAAAUUAUUUUAUAAGAAUAAUAAUUAAAAUAUUUAAUUUAAUUUUAAUAUAAAUCAAAAUGUAGAAUUAUUAGGUAGACAUGAAUUACAAUUUAAUGUAAUAUUGGAAUUAUUUUUUUAAUUAAAAUAAUGAAAGAGGAUUUAAGAGUAAAUUAAAGAAAUUUUUAAAUG
This 319-nucleotide ribosomal RNA is filed under the name Pheidole sp. b RA0315. RNAcentral describes it as "partial 12S ribosomal RNA". Lineage: Eukaryota; Metazoa; Arthropoda; Insecta; Hymenoptera; Formicidae. The record is from RNAcentral.